This 447-nucleotide ribosomal RNA is filed under the name uncultured bacterium. RNAcentral describes it as "bacterial SSU rRNA". It matches the Rfam family "Bacterial small subunit ribosomal RNA", at positions 355 to 825 of the family's 1533-position model. The record is from RNAcentral.
UGGGGAAUUUUGGACAAUGGGGGCAACCCUGAUCCAGCAAUGCCGCGUGAGUGACGAAGGCCUUAGGGUUGUAAAGCUCUUUCGGCGGGGAAGAUAAUGACGGUACCCGCAGAAGAAGCCCCGGCUAACUCUGUGCCAGCAGCCGCGGUAAUACAGAGGGGGCAAGCGUUGUUCGGAAUCACUGGGCGUAAAGCGCACGUAGGUGGAUAGUUAAGUUCGGGGUGAAAUCCCAGGGCUCAACCCUGGAACUGCCUCGGAUACUGGCUAUCUCGAGUCCGGAAGAGGUGAGUGGAAUUCCUAGUGUAGAGGUGAAAUUCGUAGAUAUUAGGAAGAACACCGGUGGCGAAGGCGGCUCACUGGUCCGGUACUGACACUGAGGUGCGAAAGCGUGGGGAGCAAACAGGAUUAGAUACCCCCGUAGUCCCUGAGCGGGCUGGCAAGGCGCAU